GAACUAGGAAUUUUUCAACACCGGAGAACCUUUCUGCGUAUGAUGGUUUGGAACUGCGCCUUAAAGGUGAUGGUCGUAGGUACAAACUCAUUGUUCGUACCAGCCGUGACUGGGACACUGUUGGUUAUACCGCAAGCUUUGACACUGUAGAAGGAUGGCAAUCAAUACGCCUGCCAUUUUCUUCUUUGAGGCCGNCCAAUUUUUCGAGCUCGGACUGUAUCAGAUGCUCCUCCAUUUGAUCAAAGCAAUAUUGUCUCAUUGCAGCUUAUGUUCAGCAAGUUUGAGUAUGAUGGAAAACUGAAUCCAACUUUCAUAGAGGGUCCAUUUCAGCUUCCAUUAUCAAGCAUAAGGGCCUUUAUAAAGGAUCCUAUAACUCCCAGGUUUGUACAUGUGAGCUCUGCAGGAGUAACCCGACCAGAUAGGCCUGGCCUUGAUCUCAGCAAACAACCUCCUGCUGUACGCUUGAACAAGGAAUUGGAUUUUAUUCUAACUUUCAAGUUGAAGGGAGAAGACUUGAUACGUGAAAGUGGCAUGCCAUAUGCAAUUAUCAGGCCUUGUGCUUUAACUGAGGAGCCUGCUGGAGCAGAUCUCAUUUUUGACCAAGGAGACAAUAUAACGGGUAAAAUAUCAAGGGAAGAGG
RNAcentral lists this unclassified non-coding RNA (640 nucleotides) under Hevea brasiliensis (rubber tree). The record is from RNAcentral. Lineage: Eukaryota; Viridiplantae; Streptophyta; Magnoliopsida; Malpighiales; Euphorbiaceae.